This 468-nucleotide ribosomal RNA is filed under the name uncultured bacterium. RNAcentral's name for it is "partial 16S ribosomal RNA". It matches the Rfam family "Bacterial small subunit ribosomal RNA", at positions 28 to 507 of the family's 1533-position model. The record is from RNAcentral.
GACGAACGCUGGCGGCGUGCUUAACACAUGCAAGUCGAACGGAAAGGCCCUGCUUUUGUGGGGUGCUCGAGUGGCGAACGGGUGAGUAACACGUGAGUAACCUGCCCUUGACUUUGGGAUAACUUCAUGAAACUGGGGCUAAUACCGGCUAGGAGCUCCUGCUGCAUGGUGGGGGUUGGAAAGUUUCGGCGGUUGGGGAUGGAAUCGCGGCUUAUCAGCUUGUUGGUGGGGUAGUGGCUUACCAAGGCUUUGACGGGUAGCCGGCCUGAGAGGGUGACCGGCCAAAUUGGGACUGAGAUGCGGCCCAGACUCCUACGGUAGGCAGCAGAGGGGAAGAGUGCACAAUGGGAGGAAGCCUGAUGCAGCAACGCCGCGUGCGGGAUGACGUCCUUCGGGUUGUAAACCGCUUUCGCCUGUGACGAAGCGUGAGUGACGGUAAUGGGUAAAGAAGCACCGGCUAACUACGUG